CCCUGGUUAGCUCAUUUAGUAGAGUCCUCCACUGGAAAUGGAGAAGUUAAUGGUUCGAUACCAGGACCAGGUG
RNAcentral lists this transfer RNA (73 nucleotides) under Ixodes scapularis (black-legged tick). It matches the Rfam family "tRNA". Rfam says of the family: Transfer RNA (tRNA) molecules are approximately 80 nucleotides in length. The record is from Rfam by way of RNAcentral. Lineage: Eukaryota; Metazoa; Arthropoda; Arachnida; Ixodida; Ixodidae.